GUAAUUUUUAGACGCAUCAUCCAUGUUGAAUCAAUUUUAAAAAUGUUUACUCAGAAGAAAUUACGUCACUACCAAAGUUGACCAAUCACUGAUAAUACUUCGGUUACUAGACUUCAAAUGUCUCCAAGAAAAUGUUUGUAUAAAAACACUCAAGCAGACAAAACAUCACUAUAGAAGCACUUACAGAUGGGUCACGGUUGCGAUGAAGGUCUCACCCCUCAUUCACACUUAACUCCGGAUUUACACCGGGUGCUACUCCGUCCUCCACACAAUGUCAUACCCCACCGUGAGCAUUUCAAAAGCCAAGCGCUGCAAAGCAGCUGUACGAGAUCAGGAGAUCAACAAACAACAAUGAACUACUUUGCCUGUCCGACGUUGACUUUUGUUUGUGUAUUUUUUCCUUGAUUUUGGGGGUUCUACCAUGAAGUUCUUCUAUAGUUCCAGAAUUGCAAAAAAUAUUGUUUUGUUAAUAAAUGUCCUCUGUUCUGCCUGAGCCUGUGUCCUGCAACAUCCUUCAAUGUGACAGAAAGACCGACCACAUCAAGGACACAGCGAGUGAACGAAGGACACAGGAGACAGGGGGGUGAAGCUUGCACGUCCACUGUUCCGGCACGCCCACCACCUCGGAUGGAUACAAUUCACUUUCUAUGGAUAGCGUCAAGGCGUCGUUGACGUUUGUUCAAAGCUUCUCAGGAAGUUGGCACAGCCGUAUGAGCGGUUGCAGCACAUCAAGAACGGUCAAGAAGUUGUGCCACGGUC
Long non-coding RNA from Esox lucius (northern pike), 759 nucleotides. The record is from Ensembl. NCBI's taxonomy places the organism in Eukaryota, Metazoa, Chordata, Actinopteri, Esociformes, Esocidae.